GGGGCUGUAACUCAAUGGUAAAGCACUUGUCUAACGUGCAAGAGACCCUGAGUUUGAUCCUCAGCACCAUCA
This is a non-coding RNA of Ictidomys tridecemlineatus (thirteen-lined ground squirrel), 72 nucleotides long. NCBI's taxonomy places the organism in Eukaryota, Metazoa, Chordata, Mammalia, Rodentia, Sciuridae. The record is from Rfam.